UACGGGGGGGGCAAGCGUUGUUCGGAAUUACUGGGCGUAAAGGGCUCGUAGGUGGCCAACUAAGUCAGACGUGAAAUCCCUCGGCUUAACCGGGGAACUGCGUCUGAUACUGGAUGGCUUGAGUUUGGGAGAGGGACGCGGAAUUCCAGGUGUAGCGGUGAAAUGCGUAGAUAUCUGGAGGAACACCGGUGGCGAAGGCGGCGUCCUGGGCUAGUACUGACGCUCAUGCACAAAAGCGUGGGGAGCAAACAGG
This 253-nucleotide ribosomal RNA is filed under the name uncultured bacterium. RNAcentral's name for it is "partial 16S ribosomal RNA". It matches the Rfam family "Bacterial small subunit ribosomal RNA", at positions 524 to 776 of the family's 1533-position model. The record is from RNAcentral.